UGUCAAUGUAUGUCCUCAUCAAGCACCUUUACCCAAUGGGCCAGCCUGAAGGUGACAUUGAACUUGUUCGUCUUCCUGAUUCCUGUUGACGGGUGUGCACUACCCUUCCCAGCAGCUCAGGAGCCACCCAGAACAUUGUACGUGUGCUAGGCAAAUACCACCAACCACACCACUUCCCCGCCCGGAGACCUACGGGAUUCUGGAAGUGUCAAACUUCCACUAGAGACUUUAGAUUUCUAAAUCAGGAAUUAUUGUUUAGCCCUGUCUGGUGGCUUAUGCCUGGAAUCCUAGCCCUUGGGAGGCAGGCUGGUGGAUCAGGACCAGCGUUGGUGACAUAGCAGAUUCAGUUAGCCUGAGCUACAUGAGGUACUGCUAAAGGAAAGGGAAAAAAAAGUGUUUCUUUUAAUACUGUAUUGCCGGUAUCUGCUGAAUAUUGAAACAGUCAUUUCCAGCACAUACAUACUCUGUUAAGCUAUAGAUUAUACCAUUUUUUCUUUAUCGACUAGGUAUUGCCUCUUCUUUUUGUUUUUGUUGUUUUUAAACGAAUGUCUAAGACAUAGAUGCCUAGCUGUAAAUAAAUUCAGAUCUCUUGCCUCUGUAUCCAA
Molecule: long non-coding RNA, 605 nt
Filed under: Rattus norvegicus (Norway rat)
Lineage: Eukaryota; Metazoa; Chordata; Mammalia; Rodentia; Muridae
Description: long non-coding RNA NONRATT007497
Source: RNAcentral